UGGGUAGUCCGCACGAGCGCACCCUUUUCUUAGUUGCCAGCACGUUAUGGUGGGGACUCUAAGGAUACCGCCUGGGACAACCAGGAGGAAGGUGGGGAUGAUGUCAAGUCAGUAUGUCCCUUAUGUCCAGGGCUACACACGUGUUACAAUGGUAAGUACAAUGGGUCGCCAACCCGCGAGGGGGAGCUAAUCCCAAAAAACUUACCCCAGUUCAGAUUGGAGUCUGCAACUCGACUCCAUGAAGGAGGAAUCGCUAGUAAUCGUGGAUCAGCACGCCACGGUGAAUACGUUCCCGGGUCUUGUACACACCGCCCGUCACGCCAUGGAAGUCAGCAGUACCCGAAGCCGGUGGCCUAACCUUCGGGAGGGAGCCGUUUAAGGUAAGGCUGGUAACUGGGGCGAAGUCGUAACAAGGUAGCCGUACCGGAAGGUGCGGCUGGAUCACCUCCUUUCU
Molecule: ribosomal RNA, 454 nt
Filed under: uncultured delta proteobacterium
Lineage: Bacteria; Deltaproteobacteria
Description: bacterial SSU rRNA
Rfam family: Bacterial small subunit ribosomal RNA
Source: RNAcentral